Molecule: long non-coding RNA, 2872 nt
Filed under: Megachile rotundata (alfalfa leafcutting bee)
Lineage: Eukaryota; Metazoa; Arthropoda; Insecta; Hymenoptera; Megachilidae
Description: uncharacterized LOC105663430, transcript variant X1
Source: RNAcentral
ACAAAAUGGCUGCCAGUUACAGCAAGCAAUACCCAAAACGUAAUACGUCUGGCGCGAUUUCGUGACAGAGAAGUAUGGUAAAAUGACACGACAUAUCAAUCUGAAGUUCGAGGAAAAUUACUUACGGGUCAUUAACACGCUUCACAUAAAAUGGUUCGCUUCAACAAGCAACCAGUUACUAUAAUAUUCGAAUUCCAUAACACAAAAAAUGACUCAGCUUCGUGUGUACAUAUUGAACUUUCCAUCUCUAUUCUUCGGCAUGAAAAUACCGAUAAACUGUAAGUGUAAAUCUAUUUACCAGAAACCACAGACCGCAACUAUUACAACAAACUGAAUCAUCAAACCCUCGAAAUUCUAUGACAAUAAUCAGCGUUUACCAGUUUCCUUAUCGAAUACUAUUUUUAAAUCGACUGUACGGCAAACAACCGAUCCGAUUCACACGGAUAUGCAAACUGCUCGAAGCAGAAGGUAGAACGAGUCUAUGGUUGUUCAAAUAAAGGCGCGUGCUGGCUGACACGAUUGUUGGAAGCGUAGGGCAGGUCUUCAACUACGGGAGUUCAAUAUUUAUUGCGAUGUCACCAGAGGUCGUGGACGGUUAAACUACAAAAGGCAACAGGGUCAGGCAGCAGCCGAAGGAAACGGCGGGUCGUGAUAAAAAGAAUGUGACAUAAGUUGGGGGGUUGGCUUAUCGAUAUUGCUUGGAAAUAUGCAACGACGCUGCUGCGCGAGAAGAAAAGUCAUUAACACGAGUCUCUGGCAAGAAACGCAACGAUAACGUAUCGCGCGGUUUCAUCGACGGCCAACUCGGCUAAGAAAUCCUGCAUCGAAUUAACUAACGUUGAAUACAAAGAAAUGGCGCGCAUACGAGGCACAAAAGUAUCUAUCAGCAAAAGUAAUGAAACAGAAUGGGCUUCAAGGCGUAAAAACUCCGACACGAUUUCGUGACAUAAAAGUAUCGGGAAGUGAUACUUGUGACACAUCAAAUUCAAGCUUACGGUACGGAAAAUGACUGUCAAGAUUUUAUUACCGUUUUUACGGGGAAACUGAGAAGGAAGGUCUUUACUUGUUGCGUAUCAAUCAUUUAGUGUGAAGUCUGGUUCUUGACAGAAAAUCGCAUAAUGGCACUUGUGGUGCGUGUAAUUAAAGAGUGAUGGAGAUGAAUGUAAAAACUCAAAAAAUUCCACGAUGAAUGAAACGAGGAAUAAAUUCCAGCUCACAUGAACGCAUUUUAAACGCAAAUAGGCAAAACAUACUUAGGAUUCACAGUCCGGAAGGAAUAACAUCUAUUUCGUGUGUUUAUCUGUGCACUGAUAACGUAGAACCGAUUAGAAUUCUCCUCGUUUAUACACCGUGAACCUUCGUGAACUGUGAUAUCCUUUUUCUCUUUCUCUCUUUUUAAUCGAUACAUUUAUUUGCAACAGAAGAGAAAAGGAAAAUCGAUACAACUUACGUUCCAGCUGCAACUCGAACGUACAUCAAGUUAUAUUAUAAAUAAAUAUAUUACGAACAGAUGUUCCAGAUGAUGUCGGUUCAAAAGACGAAGAUAACAUAAUAAAUAUAUAUAUGUAUCACGGACGGCUUCAAAAAUCAUUAAAACAGCGAGGUCUUAUCGUGACCCACGCAAUGAUGAUACCGAUUUCUUCUCCCCCUUAUCAACCUACAUCGAGACACCGCUUUUCUUUUGCAUAGACGAUUCUGGUGCUUAUUUUACCCGUGUUUGUGAUAAGCCAUUCUUGGAAAAAGUAUUUUAAGGAAUAUAGUUGAAGAUGUAAUACGAAUCGCUGUGUUUCAUUUAUUAAAUUUUUGGGAAUUAAUCUUUCAAUGGAAAAGCAACUCGGUAAUAUACCAGACUAGUUAUAUUGCUAACUUUGCACGUAUGAUAUGUAUACUAAUGACGUUUUACAUUAUUGUUGCAUACCGAGAUGUCUGAUUUGAAGAGUUGGAGAUAUGGAAACUGAGAAUAUUACCAAGAGUUAGAUUACUACUUGUUAUAUUACCACGUGUUAUAUUGCCACGCGCUAUAAUGUUAAUCAUUGUACCGCCUCGAAUUAUAUCGCCAUUUGUUGCGUCACUAUUUGUUAUAUUGCGGUGGAAUAUAUUACCACGUGUUAUAUUGCCGCGUAUUAUAUCACCACGUGUUAUAUCACCGGUUAUAUUGCCACGCAUUACAUUAACAUGCGCUGUAAUGUCAACCAUUGUAUCGCCACGUGUUGCAUUACUAUGCGUUAUAUUGCCGCGCGUUAUAUUACCACGUGUUAUAUUGCCGCGUAUUAUAUCACCGGUUAUAUUGCCACGCAUUACAUUAACAUGCGCUGUAAUGUCAACCAUUGUAUCGCCACGUGUUGCAUUACUAUGCGUUAUAUUGCCGCGCGUUAUAUUACCACGUGUUAUAUUGCCGCGUAUUAUAUCACCGGUUAUAUUGCCACGCAUUACAUUAACAUGCGCUGUAAUGUCAACCAUUGUAUCGCCACGUGUUGCAUUACUAUGCGUUAUAUUGCCGCGCGUUAUAUUACCACGUGUUAUAUUGCCGCGUAUUAUAUCACCGGUUAUAUUGCCACGCAUUACAUUAACAUGCGCUGUAAUGUCAACCAUUGUAUCGCCACGUGUUGCAUUACUAUGCGUUAUAUUGCCGCGCGUUAUAUUACCACGUGUUAUAUUGCCGCGUAUUAUAUCACCGGUUAUAUUGCCACGCAUUACAUUAACAUGCGCUGUAAUGUCAACCAUUGUAUCGCCACGUGUUGCAUUACUAUGCGUUAUAUUGCCGCGCGUUAUAUUACCACGUGUUAUAUUGCCGCGUAUUAUAUCACCGGUUAUAUUGCCACGCAUUACAUUAACAUGCGCUGUAAUGUCAACCAUUGUAUCGCCACGUGUU